UACACCGAGUUUUCUCCACUUUUUAUCCACAUACUUGUUUCAUUUAAUUAUAUGUACUUGGUUUUUCUGAGUACACAACAUGGUUUGUGGUAUGAGACUUAAGUUUCAGAGCUGUGCGCCCCUGUGCGCAUGUCCAUUUCCGGUUAGCGCUCAUUGACCGGAAGUAAGCGGUCAAAGCCGUUCACGCAGACCCAGGGCUCUCACGGAAGGUUGGCUCUAACGUUGAUUUCGAUCCAGACUGUACAAGCUCAAGUUUACAAGUAAAGAAAGGACAAUCCUCAAAAAGAAAGUCUUGGAUUGUGGCCAACUGUCUUCCACUGAGAAUCAAAUCAGUGUCUACUGGAGGAGGCAUGCACUGGACAUGUAGGUUUUGCGCUUUUGUCUCUUUAAAACGUGGCCAGCUAUUAAAGCAUUACAGAUUGAAGCAUGGUGUCUUCACAAGAACCUCCCCAAUACCGUGUCUAGGGUUGUCACGAUUUCAAUUUUUUGAGCCACGAUUAUUGUGGAAGGAAAUAUUGCGAUUUUACGAUUAUUCACGAUUAUCGACAUUAUGAAAGAAAAAAACCCAGUGUUUGUAUUUAAAUAAACUCUUUAAUAAUACUUAAACUUUUAAACAUUUACUGUUCUUAUAAAAUAAAAUAAAUUGUUCCAACACGUCUUUGUAGUAAAUAAAAGUGCAAAUUGCAUUACAAAACAGUCAUUAACUUGAGGAACUUAAAGGCUUUUUUAGCUGCCAUCAUUAAAACAAAAGUGAGUAAAUUCUAGUAAGUUCUCGUGAAGUGCCUCUUUGAGACUUUUAUGUAUUAUGGAAUGUUGCAAUUUAAUGUAUGGUUGAUAACGUAGUGUUUACUUUGUAAAUCAAACAAAACAAAAAGACAUAAAAAGAAUACAUUUAAAGAUUCUAAAAACACUUCAUUUUAAGCUUUAAAUAUCCUCCACAAUUUUAGACAAUAUAACUACAGAAAAAAGGAUAAAUGGGAGUCUUAUUUAUUUUUACUAAAACGUUUAUAUAAACAAUUCACCACUAAUUUUACAACAAUUAAUCAAAACACCCGGAUCAUUUCCCAGGGAAAACUCUAGAGUCUGACAGGAGGUCCAGGCAGACAGACAGCCUCCCUGUCCUGGAGGUUACUGUCUCCUCCACUACCACUGUCAGCGGGCAGCGGGGCUUCCCGGACCACACUCCCUGCUGAGGGGACCGGGCCGACAGCAUCUUCGGAGGAGGGCACGGGCUUCCGGAGCCAAAACAACCGGCGGGUCGGGAGCUCCGGUUCC
This is a long non-coding RNA of Amphiprion ocellaris (clown anemonefish), 1275 nucleotides long. RefSeq lists it as uncharacterized. The record is from RefSeq and is a predicted model, not a curated record. The transcript is spliced from 3 exons. Lineage: Eukaryota; Metazoa; Chordata; Actinopteri; Pomacentridae.